ACACGAACCGCACGAACGUUAUUCGGAAUCACUGGGCUUAAAGGGUGCGUAGGCGGUCCGGUAAGUUGGGUGCGAAAGCCCUCGGCUCAACCGAGGAAUUGCGCCCAAAACUACCGGACUUGAGGAAGACAGAGGUGAGCGGAACUUGCGGUGGAGCGGUGAAAUGCGUUGAUAUCGCAAGGAACACCAGUGGCGAAAGCGGCUCACUGGGUCUUUUCUGACGCUGAGGCACGAAAGCUAGGGGAGCGAACGGGAUUAGAAACCCUAGUAGUCC
RNAcentral lists this ribosomal RNA (274 nucleotides) under uncultured bacterium. RNAcentral describes it as "partial 16S ribosomal RNA". It matches the Rfam family "Bacterial small subunit ribosomal RNA", at positions 523 to 796 of the family's 1533-position model. The record is from RNAcentral.